GCCUCUGUAGCUCAGUUGGUAGAGCAUUGGUCUGAAGUACCAAGUGUCGGCGGUUCGAUCCCGUCUGGAGGCACCA
Molecule: transfer RNA, 76 nt
Filed under: bacterium
Lineage: Bacteria
Also listed under: 1 other name
Description: tRNA-Phe
Rfam family: tRNA
About the family: Transfer RNA (tRNA) molecules are approximately 80 nucleotides in length. Their secondary structure includes four short double-helical elements and three loops (D, anti-codon, and T loops). Further hydrogen bonds mediate the characteristic L-shaped molecular structure. tRNAs have two regions of fundamental functional importance: the anti-codon, which is responsible for specific mRNA codon recognition, and the 3' end, to which the tRNAs corresponding amino acid is attached (by aminoacyl-tRNA synthetases). tRNAs cope with the degeneracy of the genetic code in two manners: having more than one tRNA (with a specific anti-codon) for a particular amino acid; and 'wobble' base-pairing, i.e. permitting non-standard base-pairing at the 3rd anti-codon position.
Source: RNAcentral